This 253-nucleotide ribosomal RNA is filed under the name uncultured bacterium. RNAcentral's name for it is "partial 16S ribosomal RNA". It matches the Rfam family "Bacterial small subunit ribosomal RNA", at positions 524 to 776 of the family's 1533-position model. The record is from RNAcentral.
GACGUAGGAUGCAAGCGUUGUCCGGAUUUAUUGGGCGUAAAGAGUACGUAGGUGGUUAUUUAAGUCUAGGGUGAAAGCCCACAGCUCAACUGUGGAUCCGCCUUGGAUACUGGGUAACUUGAGGGUAGCAGAGGAAAGUGGAAUUCCAAGUGUAGCGGUGAAAUGCGUAGAUAUUUGGAGGAACACCAGUGGCGAAAGCGACUUUCUGGGCUAUUCCUGACACUGAGGUACGAAAGCCAGGGGAGCAAACGGG